Otolemur garnettii (small-eared galago) is the source of this 73-nucleotide non-coding RNA. The record is from Rfam. NCBI's taxonomy places the organism in Eukaryota, Metazoa, Chordata, Mammalia, Primates, Galagidae.
AAAGUAGCAUUUACAGACAUUUUGUUCCUUGCAGUACACCUUUCAAAAGACAUCUUCAUCAAGUAGGACUGAG